GGCUAGAUAGUAUAAUGGCAAUGCAGUGGGUUGCAAACCCAAAAAUGAGGGUUCAAGUCCCUCUCCAGCCU
Molecule: transfer RNA, 71 nt
Filed under: Myagropsis myagroides
Lineage: Eukaryota; Phaeophyceae; Fucales; Sargassaceae
Description: tRNA-Cys
Rfam family: tRNA
About the family: Transfer RNA (tRNA) molecules are approximately 80 nucleotides in length.
Source: RNAcentral